CCCUUAGAUGUUCUGGGCCGCACACGCGCUACACUGAAGGAGGCAGCGUGUACUCCUGGAUCGAAAGAUUUGGGUAACCCGCGAAGCUCCUUCGUGCUAGGGAUUGAGGUUUGCAAUUAUCCUUCAUGAACGAGGAAUUCCCAGUAAGUGCAAGUCAUAAGCUUGCGCUGACUACGUCCCUGCCCUUUGUACACACCGCCCGUCGCUACUACCGAUUGAAUGAUUUAGUGAGGACUUCGGACUGGGACCGAUGCGGCUUUCGGGCUGCGUCGGUAUUCUGGAAAGAUGUCCAAACUGUAUCAUUUAGAGGAAGUAAAAGUCGUAACA
Molecule: ribosomal RNA, 327 nt
Filed under: uncultured eukaryote
Lineage: Eukaryota
Description: partial 18S ribosomal RNA
Rfam family: Eukaryotic small subunit ribosomal RNA
Source: RNAcentral